RNAcentral lists this long non-coding RNA (26007 nucleotides) under Homo sapiens (human). RNAcentral's name for it is "non-protein coding lnc-FAM84B-84:9". The record is from RNAcentral. Lineage: Eukaryota; Metazoa; Chordata; Mammalia; Primates; Hominidae.
AGCCCAGCUGUUGCCCUGGCAGCUCCAUGACCACACCUCUGUGCCCAGACAUGGAUCAGAACUGGGAGAAAAAGAGAAGGUGGUACCUUCUAUCCCCUUCACCCUGGGUCUUUCAGGAUCUGCCCCAAGGAGCAGAAAACGGGUGCGCCCAGAGCAGCUUACUCAGGAGACGCUUGCUGUAUGUAUGGCCUGGGACAACUGUAAGAGCCCUGAGGGCACAGAGUAUGGGCAACAGGUGAUAGCAAAUCAAGGAGCAUAUUUAGCAAUGCCUGUGCUACCUAGCAAUGAGAAAUCUAUGAAAAUAGCGACACCACAGGAAUAGGGACUGCAGAGUGGGAAGAAAUGAGGGGUGACCAUGUUGAAGAAACUGUGUUUCGGCAGAGGAGAGAGCAGAGCAAUGGGGUGAGGUGGGAAUGCUUUUGGGUGGGCUUCAGAAGCAGUGAGGUCAGUGUGGCUGUCGUGAGGUGUGGAGAGUUGGGGAAGAGGAAAGGGGGUACCUGAGUUACCUGGGGCCACGUCACGUAGGGCCUGGUGGGCUGUGGUAGGGACUUGGGAUGUUUCUCUAAGUGCAGAAGAUUUUGAGCUGGGGAGAUGUGAUUGGAUUUAUGUUGUAGGGGCAAUAGAGACUAGGGAAUUGAACAGGAAGCAGGGAGGCCAGGAGGUGGCAGCUGUAGAGGUCUGGAGGCUUGGAUGUAACCAGGAGGGUUGGACAGAGCUACAGGUCAGACUGGGUCCACAUUUCAAAGGGGAUCUUAAAGGCUGUGAGAGGGACUAUUACAUGCCACCAAUAUUGAUUGUGCUCCUACCAUCAGGAUACAGAGAUGAGACAGUGAUUCCUGUCCUCAAGGAGGUUACAUUCGCAUGGGGAGAGACACAUAGCAAAAGAGACCACCAAGGCAAGUCCGCCGAGAGAUGAUGAGAGCCCAGAGGGCAUAUCACUAAGAGAAGGCCAGGAAUGAUCUCACGGAGCAAAUGGCAAUUGGCUUGAGUUUUGAGGAAGUAGAAGUUUGGUCAACAGGCUCACCCUUGCUGAUGCUGAGUAAUCUGCAGGCUGCAAUCUGCCCGUGAAAGAACUCUUGCAACACAUUGUGUGAGGAUCCCAGGUAAACAGCCAAUGUGUGUGCCCAGAGCUGCACUUACGUCUGUCUUCUAGGGAAGCCUCCCUCCCCGCUGGCCUUCAGGCUGUGCCUCCACCCUGCCUCUGUCUUGUUCUCUUAGGCUGCCCUGUCCUUCCCUGGGAAUCAGGUCAAGAGCCCUGCUGGCAGGUGUCCUAGAGCAUGAAUCAGGCCCCUGGCAAGGAGAAGGCGGGAGAUCUUGGCUGAGAUCAGUGGAAUACUGAGCCUCCAGCUUGUGUGUCAUAUGUGUGGACUUUUCAGCAUAUUCUUCUCUGGCCCAGAAGUCUGGAUUCUUCUUGUCUGUUGCAAUAAUAUAAAGUUAUUCAGAGCUGUACAUGAAGAGAAGUCCCACAGGGACCCUGGGAUCAGAAGAACUCUGGGAAAUGCCUGGCCCAGCCAGUGCUGUUCUAAAGAUCCUCAUCCUCAUGGAGAUAACCAUUUUUAAGGAAGAAAAGAGGAUCUGGACCCUACCCAUCUCAGUCUCCAUCAGAUCUUAUGGAUGCUCCAGGAAUUGGCCAUGAUUCUCCUCUUUUCUACCAUCUUGUAUGUUGGGCUUUGUAGAGGAUAGAUGUUUUCUAGAAGAAUGGCAGAUAAGGCAAGGUCUGCAGCUUGCCAUUGAUAGUGUCUUUAUCAACAGAUCUGUGAGGAAUUGUGCAGCUGAGAGGGGAGAAGAGAAAUCAGAGAGUGGAUGGACUGCCACAGUUCAACAUAUACUGGUGCUUUCAAUAUAGAAUCCACAAGGCAACCUGCAUGCUGGGCUCUGUGCUAGGCACUAGGGGUAUAUCUAUGAGAUGCCACCCCAGCUCCCACAGUCUUACAAUCUAAUGGGGAAGAGAGAUAUGUCAAUAGACAAACGCAGCAGAUGGCAAGUGCUGGGAUAUGAAACAGUAAGCAGAAGCCACAGUGUUCUCUGGGACUUCUGAGCUGAGUCCCAAAGUAAUUAGAUUAAUCCGUCAUGGGAGGUGGAGUGGGUAGGGGGAGCUCCUGGAAGCAUGAUCAAAAGUGGAGAGCUAAGGUGAGGGAGAAGAAAGAAAUGAGAUUCAGCAAAGAGGAGGAGAGCAAUGAAGGGCCAUGUAUGACCAGGCGAAGGCAAAUUGUUCGGACCAAACAUGACAGUAGGGUGGGUUUUUGAGGGGUAUCCACUGCACUUACAGAGGCAAGAUUCUCUAUGGUGACCUUUCAGUGAGGGUGGGCAAAUACACUACUUUUUGAGUCAGCCAUUUUUCACUACUGAGCACCUCUGGCCUUAGCAAGUUCUGAGCAUGAAUACUUUCUUCUGUUUCUAAGCCAUUCAACAAAUAUCAAAGUGCUUUCCCAUGUAUUGGUCAUCUUAGGCAAACUGGGUGGACAUGUAGAGCAAGACGUAAUGAGGUAAGCACUCACUAGAGCUAGGUCAUCUUAGAAAAGUCACUUAGCUUCACUGAGCCUCAGUCUUCCUAUCUGUGAAAUGGGGAUAAUGACCCUUAUGUCACCUGGUGGGCAAGGUCUAAAUAAAAUCAUUGUAGUUAGAUCCAUAGUAGGUUCUUUCUGACCUACCACUGUGCACCUCACGCCGUUGCUAUUCCAGUGGGAUAUAUCCAGUGGGGUUACGGGUAUGACAUUUCGGAACCCCACCAUCACUUGUAUCAGCAGGUCUGUCCUAGGUUCCCCAACUAAGCUUCCUGGAUGAGGCACCUAGUGGCGUCCCCUAGUUUGAGUGUGGGGGGUUUGGUAAACUAGUCCUUAUGUAUGCUUGUCAGAUGGAGGGUACUGUCUUUAAGAUGGGCUCAUAGCUGAAUCUGGAAGGUAAGUGCUCCAGGCCAGUAUUGUUUUCUGCAGGAUUCAAAGUUCCCUUGCUAUUUCUGCUGACUUUGCUUCCCCUCUCGUGUUCUAUAUCCCAAACCUAUUAUCUUCACCAGCGUUAAUUUGCCUCCACAACUCUGUUUUUGCAUUUUGAAAUGGAAUUUCCCUUAACCUAUAUUCCUCUGGUUCCCAAACUCCACCUGCUUCAGUUUUUUUUUCAAUAUCAUCUACAUUUCCUUCACUAGAUUAUAGCCUUAGUCAUUUGUACCCUUAGAAUGAAUAUUUUUUUCUGUCAUAUCUUUGUUUGAACCUUUUCACAUUUGACUUCAGACAUUACCCAUCUCCUUCAUCUGACCACUUUCUUCACUUUUCUCAUCUUUCCAUUUUGGUUGUAUGUCUACUGAGCAAGGGGCUCUGUGCAGAGCAUUCAAAGAUGACUGAGAUGUAGUCUUGUGGGUAGAGAGAGACAAUUAGAAUGCACCGUGGAGAGUGUUAGGUUGAGGGAAGCGGAGAUUACAGGAGUCCAAAUGUCUUAUCCGAGGAUAUGGGAUAGGCUUGAGAGAAGAUGCUGAGCUCAUGUAGGUGAGGUAUUGUCCUACGUGAAGGAAAAGAGGCAGGAGAUGGCAGCUUGGAGGCUAUAUUACUUUCUCUGGGGCUGCCAUACCAAAGUACCACAAACUGGGUGGCUUAAAACAUCAAAAAUGUAUUUUCUCACAGUUCUAGAAGGUAGAAGCCCAAAAUCAAGAUGUUGGCCCUACAGCUGUGCUCCUUCUGAAGGCUUUGGGGUGAAUGUGUUUAAUGCCCUUUUCUUAGCUUCUGCCCUUUUCUUUUCUGGCCUUCACAGAAGGCCAAAGAGCAAUCCUUGGCCUUCCUUGGCUUGUGGAUGCAUCGUUUCAGUCUCUGCCUCUGUUUUCACAUGGCCCUCUUCCCUGUGUAUCUGUCUCUACGCUGCUUCUCAUCUUAUAAGGACACAAGUCAGAUUGGAAUAAAGCCUAUUCUAAUUCAGUAUAAUCACAUCUUAACUUGAUUAUGUAUGCAAAGACCAUAUUUCCAAAUAAGGUCACAUUUUCAGGUCCUCGGGGUUAGAGCUUUCACAUGUCUUUUUGGGGGACAUAGUUCAACUCAUAAUAGAAACCUCGCAGAUAAAUCAUUUUGGCCGGUGCACAGAGUUAAGUGGUGGAUUAUCAAGAAUAUGGAAUUUUAGAAUUUUAGCUUCUUGGUUGAUUUUUGGGAAUUAACAUACAGGAGAGCAGGUUUAGAAGUAACAAUAACACUUUGAGAGGCCGAGGUGGGCAGAUCAUGAGGUCAGGAGAUCGAGACCAUCCUGGCUAACAUGGUGAAACCCCGUCUCCACUAAAAAUACAAAAAUUAGCCGGGCAUGGUGGCAGGUGCCUGUAGUCCCAGCUACUCAGAAGGCUGAGGCAGCAGAAUGGCAUGAACCCGGGAGGCGGAGGUUGCAGUGAGCCGAGAUCGUGCCACUGCACUCCAGCUGGGGAGACAGAGUGAGACUCUGUCUCAUAAAAAAAAGAAGUGACAAUAACAAUAACAGAGGCUGGUCUUCUGGGAAUGAUGCGAUACUCUUCAGCCAGCCUUUCUGUUUUGAGCGAAGCCCCAACCUGGAGUUCAAAGAGAGUGAGGGCGCUUCCUGUCUUCUUGUCUUUCUCCUCUCUCCUGCUACUUGUUAUGAAAUUCAGAACAAUUAGAGAUUUUCUGUCUCAUCCCUGGAAUGGUGUUUCUCCUGCUGGCCCUAUCAGGCUGGUGUGUUGAUGUUAUCGGGGAGAGGCUGUAGUUACUAGGAUGAAGAAGGCAAGAGAGAAAUGGAAUUCACGCAGAUCAAACAUGUGUAAUCAGAAGACAUUACUGAGGCUUGAUGAUGCUGUUCAGGGUGUAUUUCCCUUGAAACGCUUCUUAAAAGACAGCAGCUUAAACAAAUGGGCAAGAUGAGAUUCACAGAGGUAACAUUUCAGAGAGAAUGUAGGUACAGCUAAGCAGAGCUAAGCAGUGACAGAAGGAGAAAGUGUGUCUGAAGAAAAAUCUUCAUUACAGAUUUGAAAGAAAAAAAACCCAUCAAAUCCCUCUGCCUUGUGGGUCUCACAGGAGGCAAACUUUCUUUACAAACUGUGUGUUUGUGUUUUGAGUGACUAAGAGUUCAGGGACAAGUUCAAACACACCUAAGUUCAAUUUAAAAGUAAAUGAGAUGACAUUGGAGGAAAUUUAUAAUAAAAUGUCACUCUUUACCUAACACCAUUUUCUCUGGAAUUCAAAAUAUCCAUUGUUUAAAAGUGACACAGUAACUACCAUCUAGUUUGCUGAAUGACCUUCUUUAUAGCGUCAUGGUAUUAGAAAUGGCUUCAGAAGGAAUCACUCAACUGCAUUUAUCUGGCAGGAGAAAAAUGCAGGUAGUAUUUAUUUUGGGGUGUGGUAGGGGAUGUCCCCUAGCAAGGAUCCUAGAAGUCAGUGUCAGGUAUGAGAACAAGAAACAUUCAUUUAUUGCAUGCAUACUCAUUGAGUCCCUACUAUGUAUUGGUAUUAUGUGGCAGUAUGAAUAUUCUCAUUUGUUAAAUAAAGAUACUUGAGUCUGCUUUCAGUGUUGUGGGUUUUGUUAUUAAGAGUAAUACAGUCAUGUGUUGCUUGAUCAUGGGGACUUGUUCUGAGAAAUGUGUUGUCAAGCAAUUCUGUCUUUGUGGGAACCUCGUAGAGAGUAGGGUACUUACAAAAACCUAGAUGGGAUAGCUUAAUACGCACCUAGGCUGUAGGGUAAAGCCCAUUGCUCCCAGGCUACAAACCUGUAGAGCAUGUUACUGACUGAAUACUGUAGGCAGUUGUAACAAAUCACUAGGCAACAGAAACUUUGCAGCUCUGUUAUUAUCUUAUGGCACCACUGUUGUGUAUGCAGUCUGUUGACCAAAACAUCAUGUGGUUCAUGAUCGUACUUAUAGUACUAAGUGCCAGGCAUUGAACUGUGCCAAGUGUCAGGGCUGAAUGAGCUCAUUCAAUUUUUCUAAUAAGUCUAUGAGGUAGUUACUGAUAUCGCCCCUGCUUUACAGAUGAGGAAACUGAGGCACAGAGAUAAGGAAUUUGGAUAAAUUUUUAUAACAGGUAGGAGAUAAGUGAUGAAGAGACACUGAAUGAUUGAAAACUCACUUGGUUUGAUUUGCUUAUGUGAAAAAUGGAUUUAAGGAAGGCAGCGGAUGCAAGCACGGAGGCAGGGAAACUGGUUGAUGUGUGGAUUGAGUGAGUUAAUGUGUGUCAAAUGCCUAGAAUGGUCACUACACAAGUAUUUGCUAUUGUUCUUAUUUUUGUUGUAAUCAGUCAGAAUGGUCUAAGUCAGUGGUCAGCAAACUUUUUUUAUGCAGAGCCAGAUAGAAAAUAAUUUAGGCUUUUUAUGCUCUUAGGUCUCUCUUGCAAUUACUCAAUUCUGCCCUUGUAGCAUGCAGGCAACCAUAGUCAAUGUGUAAAUAGGAACGAGCAUGGCUGCAUUCCAUUGCAUGUAGUUUAUAAAACUAUAGCCCACAGACUAUACUUUGCCAAUUCUUGGUCUAGACUAUGCUGUAGUUAUAAUUCCCAAACCCUAUUGGUUUAUAAGGGUUUACUAUUAUUUCUACAACUAUCAGUCAGAAUGAGCUAGACUAUGCCAUAUUAACGAACAACCCCCAAACCUUAGUGGUUUACAAAAAUAAGGAUUUUAUUCUUGGCUCACAUUACAUGUCCAAUGUGGGUUGGCAGGGGAACUCCAGUUCCUGCUUCACGACUCUGAGACCCAGGCUGAUAAAGCAGCCACCACCUCAAAGAUUUCUGAUUCGUAAGAGAGAGGUAGAGAGACAGAGAAAACUUUUGAUGUGAUCCUGUCUAGAAGUGCACAGGUCACAUCUGCUCACAAACCUAGUGACUGGCAGGCACUAGGCACAUAGACUGAACUAUUCACAAAGGGCCCAGGCAGGACAAUCCUACCAGGUUCCUAGAAGGCAGGGAGCUGGGCACAUUUGGCAAGCAUUACCAAUGGUUAUUGUUACCUACUACUAGGCAUCCAAGUCAUGUGUUACAGCUAGGACCACAUGGAGAAAGAAACACUCAGUGUAAUUUCAAAUUGCAGAGGAAAAGAAUCUGAUUGGUUCAUUCUCAGUCAGAGAUCCAUUGUUGGUUUAAUUAACUGAAGAGGGUUGGGGUAUCAUAUUGUACGAAUGUAGUCGUUGGGAGCCAGCCCAUCCUUUGGAUGGGGGGAGGAGGAAUUGUGAAGAAAGUUAGGGGAGUUAUUUUAAGUUGGUGAAGUUACUUCAAUAUUAAUAUACCUUAAUAAAGAGCCAGAUAACAGCAGUUCAACUUUCUGAAAAGUCAGUGGAUAGAAAGACAGCCCUAUAUAUAAAUGAAAGCGAAGGAGAGCUGGCAUGGGCAAGUUGAGGCAUGAGUCCUGGUUGCAUGACUAACCGGGUAUGUGGCUUGGGAUAAGUCAUUUCAGAAUGUAUUGGCAUCUUGGGUUUUUGUCUGUGAAAUGAAUACUUAGUAAAAUGGCAGACAAAAGAAGUACAACUUGCUGAGAAAAGAGAGGUGUGUCAGGACGUUUUGGAGUCAAAUGAGAUAAUGGAUGUGAAGAUGCUUUGCAAAUCAUAUUCUGGUUUUCUUAAUUGGGCAGCCUUGGCCACAUUGCUUAUCAUUUCUCAGCCUGGCCUCCUUCUUUAACUUGGAGAUAAAAAGAUCUGCACUUCAGAGUAGUGAAGAUUAGAGGCAAAGAAAACUGAGCACUACAGCAUUAGGUCUGGCAAGACACCCAAUUAACGAUGGUUCUUAUUACUACUGGUGUUUACUUGCGGCAUUUGAAUUCGUGUCUCAUUGGAUUCCAUGAUUGACUCAGCAGAUCCGACUGGUUGAGUGUGUUUAUUUUCUCUUCUUUCUUGCUGCCAUUGACAUCCAUGGCUCAUGAAUAUGCACUCUUUCAUGAGCACAUAGGGCAUGAGUAAGGCUGAUCCUUCAAGCAGGUGAGCUUCUGUGAGAUGUAAUUCGCGGGAUAGUAUCCUAAAUUACACCCUUCACCCACUGGUCUGUCUGGGAUUCUCAUUUUUUGGGUCAUGUAUUGUGUAUUAAUCAGGGUGUUGUUUCUAUAGGAAACUCAUGAAAACAAACAUGUAAUCCAUCACUAGAUAGAAGCAGAUGAGAUAUCUGACCUUCUGCUGUGGGAUUAGUCUUUGAAGGAAAAGGGCACAGGACAAAUGUGACUGCAUAUUGGAAAGUUGGAAUUGCCCAAGGAGUUAAAACUAAAUGCAUGGGACUUACCUGCAGAAAUUCUGAUUUCAUUUCUCUGUAGUGUGGCCUGGUUUUGGAGAUGUUAUAAAGCUCCCCAGGGCCAGAUGUGGUGGCUCACUCCUGUAAUCCCAGCACUUUGGGAGGCCGAGGCAGGCAGAUCACGAGGUCAGGAGAUCCAGACCAGCCUGGCCAAUGUAGUGAAACCCCGUCUCUACUAAAGAUACAAAGAACUAGCAAGAUGUGGUGGCGCGUGCCUGUAAUCCCAGCUACUCAGGAGGCUAAGGCAAGAGAAUCGCUUGAACCCAGAGGCAGAGUUUGCAGUGAGCUGAGACCGCGCCAUUGCACUCCAGCCUGGGUGACAGGGUGAGACUCCAUCUCAAAAACAAAAGACAAAAACAAAAACUUAAAAGAACUAACUUUUUGUUAAGUACCAAUCAUGCCUAGAGUUGCCCUGGACCUUUUGAAUAGACCACAUUCUACUUCAUGUAAGGCACAAUAGAUUGUGUGAUGCUUCUUUAUGUAUCAAUAAGAUAAUUUUUUAAAUGCUACCAAUUAUAGUUGUAGGAAACUAUGAAUUGCAAGUGGCAUUCCAGUGUCAGAGAUGUUAAAAUGUGAGGAAUGAGCAUCUUAGAAUAAUUGCACCACCUCACUCCAGCCUGGCAACAGAGCAAGACUCCAUCUCAAAAAUAAAAAAAAAAGCUCCCCCCAGAUGAUUCUCAUGUGCAGCCAAAGUUGGAAGCCACUAGUUUAGAGCACAGGAUACUGUUAGAGAGGACAGAUCUAUUUGGGAAUCUGUGAUGAGCAAACAAGGGGAGGGGGAAGAUGAGGUGCCAGGGUUUCUUCAAAGAGGAAAUAUGAGAGGGUAGGAGAGGGAGAAGGAGGAGAAGACAAUUUCACUCAUGCUUAAUCUAAGCCUGAGAACUGUUGUGAAAUUUGUUAGGAAGAAGUGGUGAGAAGGGAGAAGAUGAGGGCUAGUCUCAGAGCACCCCGUGACUGUUAAUUUUAUGUGUUCAAUUUGACUAGGCCAUGAGACCUGGAUAUUUGGUGAAACAUUAUUCUACACCUCUCUCAUUUAGAUGAGGUAGACAUUUAAAUCAGUGGAGGUUGUGUAAAGUGGAUAACCCUCAAUAACAUGGGUGGGUCUCAUUCAAUCAGUUGAAGGCCUUUAUAGAAAAAGACUGAUUUCCCUGAAGGAAGAAGGAAUUCUGCCAUCAGACAGCUUUUGGACUGGAACUGUGAUUCUUCUCUGGGUCUUCAGCCAGCCCACCUACCCUACAGAUUUUGGACUUCUCAGCCUCCACAAUUGUGUGGGACAGUUUCUUAAAACUUUCUCUUUGUGUGCAUGUGUGCACGCGUGUGUGUGCACGCACACACACACACACACAUGCCCUAUGGGUUCUAUUUCUCCAGAGAACCCUGACUUAACAACCCUAAUGAGGUGGUAUUAUUAGUUGCCUCAUUUUACAGUUAAAGAAAGUGAGAUGCUUAAUAACGUGCCCAAAGUUGCACUUUCAGGAGUAGGGGAAACACAAGACACAGGAUGUAAGACCAGGGAGUCUGGCUCUAGCAUCGCCUGAGCUGACUCUCAGAGUCUUUUCAAAGAGGGUGUUGCUGUGGUACACAGUCAUGAAAAGCUAGAUUUUUUUUUUUGAAGACCACCUUAACCCUCAAACCUUAAGUUUCUUUGUUUUCAAAACAAGGGGGACUUUUUAGAUGCCAUAUGAAUUUUAGGAUUUUUUUUCUAUUUCUGUGAAGAAUGAUGAUGUUAUUUUGAUGGGAAUUGCAUUGAAUUUGUAGAUUGCUUUGGGCAGUAUGAUCAUCUUCACAAUAUUGAUUCUACCCGUCCAUGAACAUGGGAUGUGUUUCCAUUUGUGUUGUCUAUGAUUUCUUUCAGCAGUGUUUUGCAGUUUUCCUUGUAGCAGUCAUUCACCUCCUUGGUUAACUCUAUUCCUAAGUAUUUUAUUUUAUUUGUUGUACCUAUUAUAAAGGGAAUUGAGUUCUUUAUUUGAUUCUCAGCUUGAUCAUUGUUCAUGUAGAGAAGUGCUACUUAUUUGUGUACAUUGAUUUUAUAUCCUGAGACUUUAGUGAACUCGUUUGUCACACCUAGACAAUAGACAUUGGCACGGAUGUGGUAAGAAGGGAACACUUUUAUGCUGCGGGUGGAGAUGUAAACCAGUACAACCACUAUGGUAAACAGCAUGGAGACUCCUUAAAGAGCUAAAAGUAGAACUACCAUUUGAUCCAGCAAUCCCACUACUGCGUAUCUAUCCAAAGGAAAAGAAGUCAUUAUAUUAAAAAGACACAUGUACAUGCAUGUUUAUAGCAGCAUAGUUUGCAUUUGCAAAAAUAUGGUACCAAUCUAAAUGCCCAUUAACCAAUGAGUGGAUAAAGAAAAUGUGGCAUAUCUACACUGUGUAAUACUACUCAGCCAUAAAAAGGAAUGAAAUAAUGUCUUUUGCAGCAACUUGGAUGAAGCUGGAGGCCCUUAUUCUAAGUGAGUAACUCAGGAAUGGAAAACCAAGUAUCAUAUGUUCUCACUUAUAAGUGAGAGCUAAGCUAUGAGAAUGCAAAGGCAUUACAAUGAUAUAAUGGACUUUGGGGACUCAGUAGAAGGGAAGUUGGAAGGGGGAUGAAGGAUAAAAGACUACAUAUUGGGUAUAGUGUACACUGCUCGGGUGAUGGGCAUAUCAAAAUCUCAGAAAUCACCACUAAAGAACUUAUUCAUGUAAUCCCAAACCACUUAUACCCCAAAAACUAUUGAAAUAAAAAUUUAAAAAAUGAGGGGAACACCAGAUGAACCCUUUCAGACCUGUUGAUCUGUAACAACUAAGAGCAGACAUUAGAAGCUGAUGCCUGCCUAUUGGCAAUUGUAGCUGUCAAGAGUUUCAGCCUUGCUGCUAGGUAGUGAAAUUAACACCUGCUUUGCCUUCUUCCCUGCCUUCCCUCUGCUGGGUCUCAUCUCCCCUCAUUCUCAAGGGCUGAUCCCUUAACUCACUGGUACCUGUUUGGUUUCUCAAAUUGCAUUUGAAUCUUCCUCAGUGGAACUCUUCCUGCUGCCUCUGUCUGAUGUAUUAGCAAUGUCAGAAGCUCAGAAUGACUGCUUCCAGCCAGACAUUGGGUUGGUUUUAAAUGUAUUCAUCUCUUGUCAUACCAGUUACUGGCACUGUUUUUAAGCUCGUGUGUGUGUGUGUGUGUGUGUGUGUGUGUGUGUGUGUGUGUAUUGUGUGUUAUUUUCUAAGUAAGUAAUUAAAUUUUUAGAAUCAUACAGCUCUCUGUGUAGAACAGCUUUGUGCAAAUACUUUGAAUUUUAUUCCAGUUUAUAGCACAUCAAUUUGUUUUCAGCAUUUUCUCAGUCUACUUUCCAUCUGCCUGAACUCUGGUAGACUGAAGUCCAGUUUUGGGUGAUAAAGUGAUUAGCAGCAUUUGUCUGCUCUUAGAGCACUUGGGAUUCAAGUCUCCCCUAUAUCUCUUCUUCUGUAUCUCAUUGCUUUUGUUUUUUUUCCCCCAUCUUGACACUUUUUCAGUAUAUCAGGAAUCUUUCUUCAUAUAUAUAUGUUUUUUAAGACAGAGUUUCACUCUUGUUGCCCAGGCUGGAGUGCAAUGGCGUGAUCUCGGCUCACCACAACCUCCACCUCCCAGGUUCAAGCAAUUCUCCUGCCUCAGCCUCCCGAGUAGCUGGGAUUACAGGCACCCACCACCACUCUCAGCUAAUUUUGUAUUUUUAGUAGAGACGGGGUUUCUCCAUGUUGGUCAGGCUGGUCUUGAACUCCCUACCUCAGGUGAUCUGCCCACCUCGGCCUCCCAAAGUGCUGGGAUUACAGUGUUGAGCCACCAUGCCCGGCCGCAUCUUUCUUUUUAAAUCAACUUUACUGAGGUAUAAUGGACACACAGUAAGCUGAUGUAUUUAAAGUAUACGAUUUGGUGUUUUUACAUAUGUAUACAUCCACAAAUCCAUCCCCACAAUCAAGAUAAUGAACAUAUCUAUCACCCCCAAAAGCAUCCUGUGUCCCUUUGUAGUGACUUCUGUUGUUGCACCCUUUCCCCACCAUAUGUUAGUUUACAUUUUGUAAAAUCUUAUAUAAAUGGAAGCAUACAGAGUGAACUCUUUUUGUCUGGCUCUUUUACUUAUUUCUGAGUUGGUAUUUCAUUGUACGGAUAUACCACAAUACAUUUAUUCAUUCGCCCAGGGAUAGACAUGUGGUUGCUUUUAGCUUUUGAAUAUGACAAAUAAAGUGUCUAUAAGCAUUCACGUAGAAGUCUUUGCAUGGACAUAUGUUUCCUUUUUUAAAAAAAUUAUUUAUUUAUUUUUUAAGAUGGAGUCUUGCUCUUAUCACCCAGGCUGAAGUGCAGUGGCAUGAUCUCAGCUUACUGCAACCUCCGCCUCCAGGGGUUUCAGUGACUUUCCUGUCUCAGCCUCUUGAGUAGCUGAGAUUACUGAUGUGCACCACCAUGCCCAGCUAAUUUUUGUAUUUUUAGUAGAGACGGGGUUUCAUCAUGUUAGCCACGGUGGUCUCAAACUCCUGACAGGUGAUCCACCUGCCUAGGCCUCCCAAAGUGCUGGUAUUACAGGUAUGAGCCACCAUGUCUGGCCCUGUUUUCAGUUUUUUUUUUUGUUUGUAAAUAUCUAGAAGAAUGGCUGGAUGAUGAGGUAGGUAUGUAUUUAACUUUUAAAGAAGCUGCCAAACUGUUUUCCAAAGUGAUGGUGCCGUUUUAACAUUCCCAGCAGCAGCAUAUGAAAGGUCUAAUUGCUUCACAUCUUUGCCAACACUUUGUGUGGUCAGACUUUUUAAUUUUAGCUUUCCUAAUACAUGUGUAGCGGCAUCUCACUGUGUUAGCGUACAUUUCCUAAUGAUUAAUGAUGUUGAUCUUUUUUUUUUUUUUUUUUUUCUGAGACAGUCUUACUCUGUCAUGAGGCUGGAGUGCAGUGGUACAGUCUUGACUCACUGUGACCUUGACCUCCCAGGCUCAGGAGAUCCUGCUACCUUAACCUCUUGUGUAGCUGAGACUACAGGCACGUGCCAUCAUGCCUGUAGUAUUUUUUGUAUUUUUCGUAGAGACGAGGUUUUGUCAUGUUGCCCAAGCUAGUCUCAAACUCCUGAGCUUAAGCAAUUUGCCCACCUUGGCCUCCCAAAGUGCUGAGAUUACAGGUGUGAGUCACUGCACCUGGCCUAGCAUAUUUUAUGUGCUUAUGUGCCAUCCACAUAUCUUCUUUGUUGGAGUAUCUGUUUAAAUCAUGUUUAAAUCUUUUGCCAAUUUCUUAUUGAGUUUUUAAUUUUCUUAUUGUUGAGUUUUGAGGAUUCUUCAUAUAUUCUAGAUAUAAAUUCUUUUUCAGAUAUGUCACUUAUAAGGACUUUCUUUCAGUCUGUGCUUGUAUCUUUUGAUAAGUGGAUUUUUUUUUCUUCAGACAGAAUAUUGCUGUGUUGCCCAGGCUGGAGUGCAGUGGUUUGAUCUCAGCUCACUGCAACCUCCGCCUCCUGGGUCCAAGUGAUUCUUGUGCCUCAGCCUCCUGACUAGCUGAGACUACAGGCAUGCAUAGGCAUACCCAGCUAAUGUUUGCAUUUUUAGUAGAGACAGAGUUUUGCCAUGUUGGCCAGGCUGGUCUUAAACUCCUGGUCUGAAGUGAUCCACCUGACUGGCCUCCUAAAGUGCUGGGAUUACAGGCCUGAGCCACUGUGCCCAGAAGAAGUGCUAAUUUUGAUGAAGUUCCAUUUAUCAUUCUAUUUUUUUAAUGCUUUUGCAUCAUAUGUAAGAAAUCUUUGCAAAACCCAAGGUCAUGAAGAUUUUCUCCUGUUUUCUUCUAUAGGUUUUAGAGUUUAAGGUUUCAUGUUUAGGUUUAUAAUCUAUCUUAAGGUAAUUUCUGUUUGUGAUAUGAAGUAUGGAUCCAAGUUUCCUUUUUUUUUUUUUUGCAUAUCAAGAUCCAAUUGUUCUAGCAUCAUUUGUUGCAAAGUCAAUCCUUUUUUCCGCUGCACCUUUGUAAAAGUUCACUGUCAAUAUUCAUGAGUUUAUUGCUAGACCCUGUAUUCUCUUCCAUCGAUCUAUUUGUCUGUCUUUAUACAAAUACCACAGUGUUUUGAUUCUGAAGCUUUAUAAUAAUUCUCAGGAUCAGGUAAUAUUAGUCCUUCAACUUUGUUCUGUUUUUACAGAGUGUUUUGUUUUUGUUUUUGUUUUUUUGACUAUCCUAGGGUAUUCGCAUUUUUAUAUGGGGAAAUGAAAGAUGGUCUCUGUUAAUGUGGCUUUAUUUUCUCCACUUAUCAAGAGGUCCCUGAGGGGGUCACUUACAUGCUUCACGUCUACUGCACUGCCUUUUGAGAAGAAAAGUGUCAGGGUUGACUAAUUUCUCCAAAUUUGGAGAAGGGCUAAAUUCUGAAACUCAUGACCUUUCAGAGCCUCCUGGCUGAUAGCAUUUUCUCCUCCCCUUAUAACCUGCCUCCUUAAGUGAUCACCUUCAAGACUGGUUUGAGAUGCAGUGGGACUUUUAAGUGAGACUAAACUCCCUGAGAGUGAGAAGUUGGUCUGUGUUCCUCACUUGCCUCCCUAGAAACAAGCACAUUGUCUAGUGCCUAGUAAUUGCCCAAUGACUAUUCUUACAGCCAAAUCUGUUGCCAAGUGAAGCUUGCUCUGGGAGUUAAAGUCUUGCCUUGUAUUGCUCUGCUUUCUGGUUUCAGGGAGGAUUAAGGUGAAAGGAGGGCCUCUGGUGGCUCUGGAGCUCCCACUGUGUGCAAGGCAUCAUGGCAGGAAUCCACACAUAGGCUAUCCCACUUACUCUUCACCAUUACUCUGCAACAAGGAAAUAUUAUUCCCAUCUAUUACUAAUGAGGAAAUGGAAGCUCAGAGGGUGUAUUAGUCAGGGUUCUCUAGAGGGACAGAACUAAUGGAAUAGCUGUAUAUAAAGGGAGUUUAUUAAGUAUUAACUCACAUGAUCACAAGGUCCCAUAAUAGGCUGUCUGCAGGCUAUGGAGCAAGGAGAGCCAGUCUGAGUCCCAAGGCAAAAGGACUUGGAGUCUGAUGUUCGAGGGCAGGAAGCAUCCAGCACGGGAGAAAGAUGUAGGCUGGGAGGCUAGGCCAGUCUCUCUUUUCACAUUUUUCUGCCUGGUUAUAUUCUAGCUGUGCUGGCAGCUGAUUAGAUUGUGCCCAGAUUAAGGGUGGGUCUGCCUUUCCCAACCCACUGACUCAAAUGUUAAUCUCCUUUGGCAACACCCUCACAGACACAAUCAGGAUCAAUACUCUGUAUCUUUCAAUCCAAUCAAGCUGACACUCAGUAGUAACCAUUCCAGAGGGGUUAGGGAACUUGUUACCACGCAGCAGAAUUGAAAUUUGGACUCCUACUUUUCCCAAUACUUUAACCUCCCUCCCUAAGUAUCUAAGAUAUGCCAAAGUCAUUUACUUAGGAAACAUAUAGCUAAAACGCAUUAAGCACUUACUGUGUGGCAGGCACUAGGGACCUGGUGAACAAUGAGUGGUUUGUGGUAGAGGCUACAAGGGAGGCAGGGACGGGGGACAUUGAUGAGGAGAAGAGAAAGGCGCUGGCUUUGAAGGGUGUUAACUACCAGCCUAAAGAACACGGGCUCUAUCCGGUAGGUGUUGGGGAAUGGUGGAAGGGUUUUAUUCAAAUGCAGAACAGGAUUGGACUUAUAUUUAGGAAGAGCAUCCAGCAGCAGUGUGGAGGGCAGAUGGCUGUGGGCGAGGAAGGAGUCAGGAACAGUAGUUAUGACACCACCGAAAGAGAGAAUAAAGAUGAUGGUGACGAGGCGGCUGAAGGAACUGAACAGUUAUGUAUAGCAGACACUGUGCUUAGUGUAUUCCAUGUGCUUGCUCAUUUAAUAUUCAGAACAACUGCAUGAAGCCAAUGCUACUAUGAUCACCAUUUUCCAGAUGAGGAAAUUAAGCCACAGAAGAGUUAAGUAAUAAUCAUUCCAAUCAUAAUAGAAUAAGCCCUGAAACGAUGUUCCCUGUUCACACCUGUAAGAUUCUCUUACAGUUUUCAGCCAGUAAAUUGCAGAACCAGGAUGUGAGCCUAUACAUCCUAAAUGCCAAGCUGUAUUUGUUUUGUCGCUUACCAAAUCACCUCGCAUCACAGACACCCAAGGGGGGGAGAGAGAAAUCUUUGUGAUCACAAAGGCCACCUCGCUGCCCCUCCCAGCCCCAUCCAGAUGUGUGAAUCUCUCCUGUGCCAUCUGCUUAAUCAUCUCCAGUGAUGAGGGCUACCCUCUCUGUCCAGGCAUCCUGGACCACAUUUUGACACCAGCAUUAUGAAAACUUGAUCUUUGUUUUUGAGCCCUGGUGAACUUGGCUUGCUGCUUCCAGGGCUUUCUCUGAGCCUCUGCUGGCCUUUUUUUCUACUUAAUAAGCACCUGAGGGUGUGAACUGUGGCUACUGGUACAAUCUGGGACAAAGUCCACCAGGGAUUUUAAGGAGUGUUCUUUGCAUGCAAAAUAUCACAAGGUGGCUGAGGCCAUGCUAAUUGGCUACAUUUGAACUACAACAACAUUCAAACCCAGCAAGACAAUUAAAGCUGAAAAUGAUCAGCUGGGAUUAAAAGGAUCCAAAGGGUAAUUGCUUCAUAACAAGCUACAUUGCUCCAAGUAGCAGGAAGGAUUGACGAAACUGGAAUUAUUAUAUUGGAAUACUUGUUUAUUUUUAUAGCGUGUUUUAAAAUCAUUUGGAUUUGGCCAACUUGUGCCUUUUCCCAAAUACUCCUGGGUUUGGUUAACUGCCUUGGAUUUAUCUGCCAACUGCAAUUACUCCUGUUCUUGGAAACUACAGAGGCACAGAAACAUACUCACCAUUUAUCAGUGUGAUAAAUACUUUUAUUGCCUUGGUAAUAAUGAUGCCUACAUUUGUAUAGUGCUUGUAACGUUUUCAAAAUGACUUAUGUCUGUUAUCUCAGUUUGAGAACAACCCGAUGGUAUGGUUAAGGGUUGGGGUUCCGAUUUGGAGAUGAUAAAGGCAGGGAGAAGUGAGCCGUGUAGCAGAUUAACAUUAGUGCUCACACGAGAAUCCCGUGUGCCUGCUCUCACCUGGGGUAUUCUAAGAAGGAAGCAUCUUGUUCAGCAGGGCUGAACCCCGCCAACCCAAAGUGAAAAAGUAAUUGUUGGGGAUUAAGAGGAAGGUGAAACUCAUUGAUAAAUUAGCUGUUUGAACUUUACAAUAUGAAAGAGAUCAAUCGUCGGUCAGAUAGGAAAGGUGCUUUCAGAAAUAAAGUUGCUGCAAUAACACCUAAGGUAUGAACUUUGGUUUGGAGUUGGUAGUCUUGGGCUUACAUUCUGCCUCUUCCUUUUUGUGGUUCUGUAUCUGUUAUUUGACUAGUCUUCUGGAUCUUAGUUUCCUCUUUUGUACGAUGGGUCUAACAAGGACAUUUCUCCGGUGUUAUGGUUAAGGUCAAAUGAAACCGUAUAUGUGCUGGAGCUAGACAAAUAUGGGGUACUUUGGUCACUGGCAUUUUUCUGUCUGAUGUUCCUACUUUAACUGUGAUAAGAUAUUCAGAAGACCAGCCACCUUUGCAGCUUGUUUCUUGAGAGACUUCAUUCCCUACAUUUUAAGGUGUGUUUAAAGGGAUGUUUUCCUUAUUAUAAUAGAACGAGUUACUAGGGUUUCACAAUUUAGGAACAGGCAGAAGUCUUUUCUAGAUACACACAAAGUGAAUCAACCACCUUAAACCAAGCAGCAUCUAAGAGAUGUGCCUUCUAGUUCUGAAACGGAUACAAUUUCCAGCUUUUGUGACAACCCUGCCAGUUUAGCCUGCUCUAAUAUUUGUUCUGGGUGUGAGAUUUUCUUUCUUCUCUCUUUUCUUUUUUCUUUCUCUCUCUCUCUGUUUCUCUCUCUCUCUUUUUCUUUCAUUCUUCUGAGACAGAGUCUGGUUCUGUCAACCAGGGUGGAGUGCAGUGGCAUGAUCUUGGCUCACUGAAACCUCUGUCUCCUGGGCUCAAGCCAUCCUCCCACCUCAGCCUCCCAAGUAACUGGGACUACAGGCAUGUGCCACCAUGCCCAGCUAAUUUUUGUAAUUUUUUUUGUAGAGAUGGGGAUCUUGCCAGUAUGCCCAGGCUGGUCUCAAACUUUUGAGCUCAAGUGAUCUGCCCGCCUUGGCUUCCCAAAGUGCUGGGAUUACAGGUAUGAGCCACCAAGCCUAGCAGGGGCUGAGGUUUUAAAACAACACCAGUUUCUCAAUGUAAAGCCUUAGGGUAUAGAAAGGAUUCUUUCAGAUUUUGCAGUCUAGUAAAGACUGUUUUUGUGCAGUGCACUCUGGACUAACCCUUACAGAUAGAAAGUAUUGUUCUAGGCAUUGUAGGGCAUGCAAAAUAAAUAGAAGUUAGUGUGUCUCCAAACAUGAACUUAGAAUCUAGUUGGAGAAAAAAAACAAAUACACAUAAAGUACUUAUAUUUAGCUCUCACCAAGCUUUUGUUUGGUGCCAGGAACCAGGUGGAGCCCGCUGUCUAUAUCAUCUUAUUCCCACCAGGUAAGUACUAUUUCUUUUAUCCUUAGUUCACAGCAUAGAAAUUGAGGUUCAGGGAGUUUAAGGGCCUUUCCAAAGACAACUCUGUCCACCUGUCUCUAAAGGCCACACUCUAACCACCUGCUAAUCAGUACUUCCAAACUCAAUGAGUGGGUCUUCCCAGCCAGCUCUGAAUCUGGGUUCAUGGUUCAAAAUAUCGGGAAUUAAAGUGCAAAUGAAUGGAUUGCUUACAAAAGCGGUCACUUUAAGUAAAGGCAGUGAAGCCACAGGGGAGAAAAGUGACUUCUGGGAUCCAACUGGCCUGGGUUUGAAACCUGGAUCCGUCAGUUAUAGCCUGCAAAUAGUUCAGCCUCCCUGGAACUUGAUCUCCACAUCUCUAUUAAGGAGGGAGAAGAAUGCUUUCAACUUUAACUGAGAUAACCUGUAGAAAGCACCUAGCACAGAGCAUAGCACAAAGGCUGGCCAAUACGUGGCUCCUUCACCCUGCUUCCCAUUCAAUGGCUGCUCAACAGCUUCCUCUGACCAAGAGACCCCCACUUCACAUCUUUCCAUCAUGCCCCCCACAAGCUGCCUUUUCCACUCUCUCUUCAUAGAUGCCAACAAAAGGUGGCCUGCUCAUCUGCUUUGAAUCUUGCUGGUCUCUGGCUUAUCUCUUCCAAUCCCCGGUGCAUUCUUGGCUUCGCAGGGAUUCAGCAUGCCCACAUUCUUGUGCGGUCACUGAUUGAGCCCAGUUCCCUGUCUUGACAGUGGCCUUUAGAACAUGAAAGUGUGUUUACACUCCACAAAUGUGUUUGAAUUUCCUAGAGCUGGCAUCAGAGGAACUAGAGCCUCAGCUUAACCUCCCGCAGCCUGGUUCCAGUUGAGUGCUUUGUGGGAUGCCAUUUCUGUCAGAAAGUUUGUUCUUAAACUAAGCUGCAACCUGGCAGAAUGGUUCUGAAAUGAAGAACUCAGACCUGGCAUCCAAUUGCCUUGAUUUAGAACCACCUGAGAAUAGAUAGUGAGCUUGUUUCCAAGUGUUUUACUGUUAUACAUAAAACUCCAUGCACAUCCUCGUGCACACUUGUGAGAGUGUCUCUGGGAGUACACAUCUCAGAGAGAAAUUGCUGGCUUAAAGGUAUGCGCACCUUUAGGUUGACUAGGUACUGCCAAAUGGCUCCCCAACUUGUUGCAAUAAUUCAUACUACCAUUAGAAUCUAGGAAAAUUCCAGUUCUUCCCUAUCCAUUCACUUUUGGUAUUGUCUGACUUUAAAAUUUUUGCAAAUCUGAUGAUGUGAAAUGACAUUAUUAUUUUUAAUUUGUAUUUCUCAGAUGGUUAGUAAGGAUGAACAUCUUUAUAUGUGAUUUUUGACUAAUUGCGUUUCCUUUUUUGUGAAUUGUCUUUCUCUAUUUUUUGCUUACUUUUUUAUUGGGUUGUAUAUUGUUUUCUUAUUGAUUGCCAAAGAAUUCUUUAUAUUAUUCUGGAUAUAUAUAUGUAUAUGCAUAUAUAUGUGCACGUAUAUAUAUGUGAUUAUAUAUUCUGUAUUAUACAUAUUCUGUUGAUUAUAUGCUUUGAAAUAUUGUUUUCUAGUUUAUGUGUUACCUUUUCAUGUAGCUUAUGAUGUCUUUGUAAGAAAUUAUAUUUAGUAGUCAAAUCUGCCAUCUUUUUUUUCAUAGUUUGAACUUUUUGUGUAAUUCUUACCACCAAAGACCAUGCACCUCUAAUAACCAGGAAAUAGAGUCAGUAAUGGGGGCAGGAAUAAAUAGAAGCUGACACCAUUGAGAAUUCUGGCAGAAGUUCUCUUGGAAGGGUUAGCUGUGAGGUUGUUGGGGUUUUUUUUCAACUUUCAAUUUUUUUUUUUUUUUUUUUUUGAGACAGAGUCUCACUUUGUUGCCCAGGCUGGGGUGCAGUGGCGCGAUCUUGGCUUACUGCAACCUCCACCUCCUGGGUUUAAGAGAUUCUCCUGCCUCAGCCUACAGAGUAGCUGGGAUUACAGGUGUGCGCCACCAUGCCUGGCUAAUUUUUGUAUUUUUAGUAGAGACGGGGUUUCAUCAUGUUGCCCAGGCUCAUCUCGAACUCCUGAUCUCAGGUGAUCUGCCCACCUCGGUCUCACAAAGUGCUGGGAUUACAGGUGUGAGCCACUGAGCCCGGCCUCAACUUUUAACUUUGAAAUAAUUAUAUCCUCAUAGCAAGUUGCAAACUAACGUGCAAGGUGGUCCCAAGGACACAACACCAGCUCCCCCCAGUAGUAACAUCUUGCACAGCUAUAGAACAAUAUCAUCACAGUCAGGAAAUUGACAUUGGUUCAAGCCACAGGGUUUGUGUGUGUGUGUGUGCGUGCGCGUGCCUGUGUUCUAUGCAGUUUUUUCAUAAAUGUAGUUUUGAUCAGCCAGCACCACUGUCGAGCUACAGAGCUGCUUUGUCACCACAAGCUUUCUCAUCCUAUCUGUUCGUAGCCUGUGACUUUGUUUUGAAGCAUGUUAAAGACACUACAGCUAAACUCAUUUUCUGUUUCUCUGGAUGACUUCCAAAGAGUAAAUUUAAAUGCACAGUUUAUUUUUAAUUUUUUAAUUUUUUUUUCUUUUUAACCCCUGUCAGCUUCAUUAGCACAGUUUUUAAAUAUACAUAUACAAUAUGCAAAGCAGAAUGAUCACAGGCUCUGGAAUCUGGUGCACCUGGAUUUGCGACACAGCACAGUUUUUCACCAGCUGGGCAACCUUGAGUCCCUUUCUGAGCCUCACUGAUAAGAGGGUGGGGGGAGACAGUACUUGCAAUAAUAGGCAACAUUGCUGUACAGUGGCCAAUAAGUGCCUCAUGAGUGGUAGUUACUGUAAUUGAGGUUUCUCCUCUGACACCAACCUCAUUACCCUGAUUUGCUUCCACAUGAGUAGAAAUCAUGGCUGUUCUGGCCUCUGCUUGUCAUCUCAGCUGAUGAACCAUCUUUUUUUUUUUAAAAAAAAAUUAUAAAUUGACAAUUGAUAAUUGUGUAAAUUUAUGGAGCACAAAGUGAUGUUAUAAUUUACGAAUACAGUGUGGAAUAAUUAAAUCAACUAGUUAACAUAUCCAUCACCUCAAGAACUUAACAUUAUUUCGUAAUGAGAACAUUUGAAAUUUACUCUGUGAAUACUUUAGAAAUGCUCAAUACUACACACAAACUACCAACUACAGACAGUUCUUGACUACUUAGGUGAGACAAACAACUUUUUUGACUUUCUCAUGAUGCAAAAGCUAUACGCACUCAGUAGAAACCAUAUUUUGAGUACCCAUUCUAUUUUUACUGCCAGUACAGUAUAUAAUAAAUUGUGUGAGAUAUUUAAUACAAUAUUUUAUUAUAAAAUAGGCCUUGUAUUAGAUGACUGUCCUCAACUAUAGGCUAAUGGAAGUGUUCUGAGUGCAUUUCAGGUAGGUGAGGUGAAGUUAUAAUGUUCUGUAGGUUAAGUGUAUUAAAUGCUUUCGACUUAGGAUAUUUCCAACUUUCCGUGUUUACUGGGACAUAACCCUAUCGUACAUUUAGGAAUAUCUGUAUAUUUACCUUGCUGUGCUUUAGGACUUAAAACAAAACAAAACAAUGAUUUUCCUUCUGUCUAACUGGAUUUUUGUACCUUUUAACCAUCACGCCUAUCUCCCCAUCCCUCGAAAAGCUCUUACUGCUUUUAUUUCAUUUUUGUCUUCCUCUUCCACUGUGCUCACCAGCAGGACAGAUAACUGUGGCAGAGGCCUCCUGAGCUCGUUAGCUGAGCUCUCACAUCUCUCUGGUCUUUUUGUCUCACACGUUUUCUGUUUCAUCUGUGGCUUGCCUUUGCUGUCUGGCUGGGCAAAUCCUCCCCGUGCCAGUGCUGACGUCGCAGUGCCCUUUUAAGAGGAGCACCCCGCUGGGUGCCAAUGGCUCCUGAUCUAAGCAGAGAGGGCUGAGCUGGGGGGAGCCAAGAGCUCCUUCCUGGGGCUGGGAGGAGCAGCUAUUCUGGGAAACAAACGCUCCAGGCAUCUCAUUAGCAUAAUCUCAGGAAUUAAUGGCUUGAUUGAUGUUUCACGUUUCCCUGCAGUUUUCUAUAAAUGAUAAUACAUUAAAAGGAGAUGGAGGAAAGAAAACAUGACACGACAUAUAUUAUUUAGGUGUUUGCAGAGAGGCUGACACACAAACACACACAAUUUAUCAACAGUCACUUUUUGCAUGGUGUUCUGAGCCCCAAGCCUCCAAGAUGUGGAAUUAAUUUCAUAGCAGGUGAUUUUAGACUAUUUCACAUGGGCCAUCUGUCGCUUCUUCAUUUAACUCUCUGCUGUUACAAUAAUUAAUCAUUUCAGGGACUGGCUUGGCCCAAGCCAGUCCACUCUGGCUGAGAGCUCCACAAAAGGGGGUAACGUUGGAUUACUUGCUUUAAAGUGGUGUGCUCCUUUGAAGCAGGUAUGUUCAAUUUUUUUUCUUGUUCUCUUGUAUCUGCUAACACCAUUGGCUCAAGAGCUGGUGACUGCUCCAGAGUAUUAGAUUUUUGUUGCUUAAUCUGUUCAUCUUCUACAUUUGCAAUUGAAAAAAAAACAAGUUCAGAGAGGUUGCUUGAAUUGUCUAGGCUCACACAGCCAACCUGAGGGAGCUGAGACCAGAACCCCUGGUCAAUUUUUCAUACCUUGGUCUUGCUGUCUUUUGUCUGAACGGGUUCUUCAGAGAAAGAAGAAAACUCACCAGGAAUAAGAAGAAGGGAACCCUAGAAACCCUAGGGGUAUCUCAGCGUAGGGUAUUUGGGACAUACUCAAAUUAAAUGCUACAUGUCAACGAUUUAAUCAUUUCAGAAAUCAAAAUGUAACCAGCUCUAAGAUGGAAUUAGUGCCAGAGGAAACGAAGAGACAUGAGGCAUUGGUCCACCAUGCUUGAUGAAACUGUGGAAGAGAAAAAACACCAUGCUGCUUUUUAAAUUGAGACGCAUUCACCUGCCAUCAUUUAUUGAUGGACUUACUAAUGACACAAAUAUUCUUUCAUUGAUUAAUCAGUUCAUGCCAACACUGGGCUGGAUGCUAGAGGUACAGUGAAGUCCAUGCACUCAUGGGACGGAUAAUUUAGUCGAGGGACAUAAAAUGAAGAGUUAAACAAACAAAUACAAAUUGGCGUAAAUGCUACCAAAGAAACAAACAAGGAGUGAAGAUGGGGAAGGACUGGUGGCUGUUCCUCCAUGUGUGUGUGGGUGAAUAUAGACCGGAUGGUCACAGAAAGCCUCUUGAAGGGAACUGCACUUGAAAUUGGACCCUGAAGGAUAGGAGCUGACAUGUGACCACAGCAGGAGGGCAAUCCCAGGAGCUGGUGCUGCAUCCACAAUGGCCCUGGGGUGGGAAGGAAGAUCAGCACCACAGAAAUGGAGUCAGGGGCUCAAGAACCAGUAACGAAGGGGUAGAAGAGUAAGUGGGGCCACUGUAAUCCUACAGGGGAUUACACCUGUAAUCCCAGCAUUUUAGGAGGCCGAGGUGGGCGGAUCGUCUGAGGUCAGGAGGUCGAGACCAGCCUGGCCAACAUGGUGAAACCCCAUCUCUACUAAAAAUACAAAAAUCAGCCCAACACGGUGGUGUGUGCCUGUAGUCCCAGCUACUCGGGAGGCUGAGGCAGGAGAAUCACUUGAACCUGGGAAGUGGAGGUUGCAGUGAGCCAAGAUCACGCCACUGCACUCCAGCCUGGACGACAGAGUGAGACUCCGUCUCAAAACAAAAAAAAAAAGAAGAGGUAAGUGGGAGGAAGAUCAUUGAAGGCCUCUCCAGGUCAUGGUGAAAAGUCUGGAUAUGACUCAUGGGAACCACGGGAUGGAUUUCACUGGGAAAACAGAGCCUGGUGUAUACUUCAUUUUCUCCUUUUUACAGAUGAAGACACUGAGGUGCAGAGAAACUUGCUGAAGACGACAUGAUGAUAGGUGGAGUAGCUGGAUUUCGAAUUUCUAACCUAGCCCUCUUCAAUUUCAGAGUUCAAUGCUCUAAACCAGGGGUCAGCAAACUGUGGCCUAUAGACCAAGUCCAGACUACUGCCUAUUUUUGUAUAAACAAAGUGUCAUUGGAGCACAGCCAUUUCCAUCCAUUUGUGUCAUGUCAGUGGCUGCUUUCCCACUACAAAGGCAGAAUUGAGGAGCUGCAACAGACACUGUGUUAGGCAGAGCCCAAAAUAUUUACUAUCUGGCCCUUUAGAGAGAAAGUUUAUUGACCCCUGCACUAGCCUGUAGGCCUCAGGCAGGGAGGAAUCAUGUCUGCUUUGCUCCUGGUGUUUCCCCUGAGUCACUCAGUGAUUGGUAUUUAGCUAGUAUCCCCUCAGCAUCUGCUGAAUAAAUGAAGAAUGGGAGGUGACUGCACAGAAUUGAGGAAUUAAAGAGUCAGAGAUUGGGUGGCCAGGAUUGGCAGGAGAUAAGAAACACAGGCCGAUGGGCAUAGGCUCUGCUUGGAGUGCAGCAGGUAGACCCCUGCUUGGCUAGAAAGCAGCAUGCAGAGGGGAGGGGCAGGGUGUCAGGUUAGAGAGACCACCUGGGGGUUGAUUGAGAAGAGCCUUGAAUGCCAUCAUCAUGAAGUGCCCAAGACCUUUAAGUGGCUGAGUUAGCACUCACAGAGGGGAUGGAGGAGACCUGCUUUCCCAAGAUGAAGAUUGUAAUUGGUUAUUGAUGUCCUAUUUGUAUGCUAAUGCUGCUUAAUAAAAUAGCUAAGCCAUAAUUAACGUUCCAGGUUUCUCUCUUCCUCAAAAAAAAGAGCCAUGGAAAGGUCAAUGGAUUUCGUAUAAUAAAUUAUUAAAUAACGGGAAACACAAGAAAUCAGUUUCUGAGCUAUAAUCUUUUCAGGUUUUAUUAACUAUCAUUUGUUACAAGCACUGACAAUGUUUACAUUUUGCUUCUGCCAUCUUCUUGCCAGUUCCAGGAAUUUUUGGAAUCGGAAUCAGUGUUGAGUGCAAAAAUAUAUUGUUUGCCAGAGUUUACCUAUUUGAAAAUCAAGACAGGUUACCUCUGUGAUCUGACUUCUCUCUUUGUGUCAAUGUUUAGGCCAAUGGUAUGGCAGCACAUUGGCAGAUGUUAUGGUAGAUGGAAACUGUGAUGAACAACACUAUGAUGCCAGUUACAUUUAGUUGGUAAUAACGAAAAUAUGCCAGGACCCUCUGUAGUUAAAAUUCUUACUCCUGUCAUGCAAAUUCUGCCAGAGGGAAGACUAGCAAAAAUUCAGCAUGACAUAGGGGUACCCAUGAGCUUGGGCUCCGGGGUCAGACACUCUGCAUUUGAAUCACAGUCUCACUUUUCAGUAGCUGUGAAUUUUGUCCUUGCUUCUUCCAUGCCUCAUUUUAUUAAACUAGGAAACAGGGAUGUCAGCAAUGCUUACUGCAUGGAGUUAUGAAGACUAAAUAAGAAAAUGCAUGUAAAGUGCAUGUCAGAAUGUUGGGCACACAGUAAAUGUUCAAUGAGUGUUGAAAGUGCUCAAGGACAAUGGCCCAUAAGAAGCC